Molecule: non-coding RNA, 157 nt
Filed under: Candidatus Omnitrophota bacterium
Lineage: Bacteria; Pseudomonadati; Candidatus Omnitrophota
Description: 6S RNA
Rfam family: 6S / SsrS RNA
About the family: E. coli 6S RNA was the first non coding RNA to be sequenced, but its function was unknown until recently. It consists of 184 nucleotides that fold into an extended hairpin structure with a large single-stranded internal bulge. The 6S RNA specifically associates with RNA polymerase holoenzyme containing the sigma70 specificity factor.
Source: RNAcentral
AUAUCCCUGCGGUGUUCGUCGAGUAAUCGAUGAUUUUUGAACCAACAAAAAUGCAACGGAAGCCUCAACUUGGAAACGGCCUUGGCCUUUUUCAGCGGCUUCCACCUGUAACCUAAUGGUUCAGCUAAUCGUACUUGACGGCACAGGCGGGGAAACA